RNAcentral lists this ribosomal RNA (384 nucleotides) under Triticum aestivum (bread wheat). RNAcentral describes it as "partial small subunit ribosomal RNA". Lineage: Eukaryota; Viridiplantae; Streptophyta; Magnoliopsida; Poales; Poaceae. The record is from RNAcentral.
AUGGUCAUGGAGGACCUCGCCGCUUCGAUCAUGUCGAUCUCGCGCAGCGCGCCGCGCUACCUCUUCUUCGACGUCCCCGCCUGGGAGGACUACUGCCUCCACGAAGACAUCAGCGGCGGCUUCGAGCUCGCCGCGGCUGGUGCCAAGAGCGUCGGCGAUGGCAGUGACAGCACCGAGCCGCGCGCGUGCGCCAGGCAGCUGCUCCCUCCGAAGCUGCCGCCGCGGCUGCAGCAUCCAGCUGACUGGUCCGCCGCGUCCUCCGCCGCCACUUCGCCGACACCACAGGCGCAAAAUUACGAGCUAAAGAAGGGAGUUGAUCCAUUCCAAAGGGAGGAGUUAACUGUUCCUCCUUUUUUGACAUCAGGAGUCAACAACUGUUGCUAA